RNAcentral lists this long non-coding RNA (1580 nucleotides) under Manihot esculenta (cassava). RNAcentral describes it as "long non-coding RNA (MESC_LNC004533)". The record is from RNAcentral. Lineage: Eukaryota; Viridiplantae; Streptophyta; Magnoliopsida; Malpighiales; Euphorbiaceae.
GAAAACCCUAGAAUAAAUAAGUGUAUAGCCACUUACCUUUGUCUCCCACUUUUUCCACCACUUUUACCUUCUUCUUCCUCAUUCCAUAUGGAGAACAAAAGGAGCAGCUGCAAAUUCACCAAUGGAGACUCUUUGGGCAUGGAUUUUCAUCAUUUGAAGAGUUCUUCAUUUGAGUUGUUUUUCUUCUCCUUUAUUAAUCUCAUACUUUCUUUGUUUUAUUUUGAGAUUUCUUUUAUAAAUACCAUCAUUAGUGAGUAGAUUUUUAGAUUUUAGAGAUUGGGUAUGUAAUACUCUAUUUUAAUCUUGAAUUUGAACUAAUUUCUACUAAUGGAUUUAAGUUAAUUUCUAAUUUUGAGUUGGAUAUUUGAUAUUUAUUCUUUUCCUUGUGAUUUAAUCUAUUGCUUUGUGUUUGGCCAACCAAAGUAUUGUUUUAAUCAUUAAUUGAUGUACUGAAAGAUGAAGAUUAAUGGUAGAAAAUAUAGGAUUAGAACUUAUAUUCUUAGAUUCAAGAAAUUGACUAAGGACAUGAGAGGGUUUCAAAAUUAAUUAAAGGACUUAAUGUGUUUUUAUUAUAUCAAGAGCCAGGAAGGUAGGAAUUGAUUUAAUUAAGACACAACCUUGAUAUCUUAAAAGAGAAUUAAGGUAAUUUUAGAAUUAAUUUCUUCAAGCCAUUGAAUACCUACGAAUAGAUAGAAAUUGAGGAAAAUCCAAAUUAAUUAGAGUGUGAAUCCUAAAUCUCUGAAAUCGCCUUUCUAUUUUUAUUUUUAGUCUUAAUUAAUAGCUAAUUUUAGUUAAUUUUGAGUUAAUUUACCAUUGUUUAAUUUAAUUGCUUUCAAUUACUAGUUGAUUUCUUUUGCUAAGUACAGAAUUAAUUAGUUUAAUUGCCAUCUUCUUAUUAAUUUGUGAUUAAUUUGUUGUAUAUUUUACUUUUAUUAGUUAAUUUUAGCAUCAAAUUGAUUAGUCCGAACAAUUACUAUAACUAUAAUCUAGUACUUAAACACUAAUUCUCUGUGGGAAUGAUACUCUACUCUAUCAUUAUAUUAUUUGUGUCACCCGUAUACUUGCAGUAUCACAACAAUGUCCUUAGCACUAUAGAUAUAUUAUGUACAAGAGAAAGUUCUGAGGAGCACCCGUUGUAGGCCAGGCACUAUUAGAUUUUAUGGAGGGUUACUAGUGACAAAUCCAUCUUGUUGUGUUUUGUUUGUGCCAUGAUGCAUACAUAUGUAUAUAUGUUUAUUUAACCUUUUUAUGUCAUGUUUCUACUCAUUAGGCCAUAGUAGCUUAUCCCUUUCCCCUAACCCCAUAUUUGCAGGAUCAUAGUUAGCGUGAGAGUUCCACAAAUUUCUUGGACAUAGUUCUUUGCGUAAUAGCUUAGUUGUGGACAUGUAAUAUUAUUAUGGUUAGUAUAUUGCUUUGCCCAGUUUUCCUUUUAUGAUCCUCUUAUCAAUGAUCAUAGUUCUUCGUAUGUAAAGUUUAAAUUUCAUGUUACAUUUGAAUCAAAUUGUGGUAUGUAAUGAUGAUUAUACUGGAGUAUUUGAUGAGAGCUCUAGUAUAAGUUUAUAUUUAUAGUUAUGGAUAUA